RNAcentral lists this ribosomal RNA (562 nucleotides) under Rhachisphaerella mozambica. Its description in RNAcentral is "SSU rRNA". It matches the Rfam family "Bacterial small subunit ribosomal RNA", at positions 362 to 948 of the family's 1533-position model. The record is from RNAcentral. Lineage: Eukaryota; Fungi; Ascomycota; Dothideomycetes; Mycosphaerellales; Mycosphaerellaceae.
UAUUGGUCAAUGGCCUAACGGCUGAACCAGCAAUUUGGGGGAAUGUAGCUAUAUACAACAAGGUAUAUAGGUAUCGACUAUGUCGAAUAAAGUUCUAAAUAGAUAAUUGAUAGUGACAAACUUCUAUUUAUAUGUCUCGACCAAUUCUUGUGCCAGCAGUCGCGGCAACACAAGUGAGACUAGUGUUAUUCAUCUUUAUUAGGUUUAAAGGGUACCUAGACGGUAUUUUCAGCCCCAGAAGGGUACAGAAUUACUAGAGUUUUAUGGGAGAGGCAAAUAUUAGGACCAUUGGUGUAGAGAUGAAAUUCUUUGAUACUAGUGGGAUGUGUAAUGGCGAAGGCAACCCUCUAUGUACAAACUGACGUUAAGGGACGAAGGCUUGGGGAGCGAAUAGGAUUAGAUACCCUAGUAGUCCAGGCAGAAAAUUAUGUAUGUUAUAGACUUCGAUUUAAUCGAUGUGUAUAAAUGAAAGUGUAAGCAUACCACCUCAAGAGUAAUGUGGCAACACAGGAACUGAAAUCAUUAGACCGUUUCUGAAACCAGUAGUGAAGUAUGUUAUUUA